This is an RNA transcript of Brassica napus (rape), 1753 nucleotides long. It is a transcript of the gene named ATP-dependent RNA helicase DEAH13-like, with no coding region annotated. The transcript has 9 exons. Lineage: Eukaryota; Viridiplantae; Streptophyta; Magnoliopsida; Brassicales; Brassicaceae. The record is from RefSeq and is a predicted model, not a curated record.
CAAAAGAAAACCUUACGUCUUCAUCCGUCUCCCAUAGCCUUUUAGGGUUCAUCCUAUUGUUCGAUCUCUGACGACUUCUCUGACUCCAUGAAUGGAGGUUGGAGAGAUUUAGUGGCUCAACCCGGUUUUAUCGACAAAGCAUGAAGGGAGACGAUUCGAUCUUAGAUUUAAUGCCUCCAAGGAAGAAGCAUAAUAAAGGACCCAACAAGGUUAGGUGUUAGAUAAACCCUAAUCAUAGUAAUAAGAUUUUUGCAAGUAGUUCUAUCUACCUGAUUAAUACCUGUAAACAAAUGUUUAAGCAAAUCUCAGAAACGGAAGCUGAAGAAACUUGAGGAAGACAGGAAGAAAGAGCUCCUCUCUGCAAAAACUUCCAAGUUGUUAGACAAGUAUAAAAUAUCUCAGGAUGUGUCUUCGCUUUUCCAAUCUUCAAAAGCCAUAGGUAGAUCUGAUAAGAAGCUGGAGAAACGCAUGAGACCAAUGCAACUAUCUAAAGCUGGUGUUUUGUCUGAUGAACCAGUCAAGGAAAAUGACAACUCUGAUUCAUGUAUGGACGAGCCUACCACACCUGAAAUCCAUAUCCCAACUCUUCAUACUGAUUCUCACCAACUUAUUCAUCCCAAUGAACUCGAUUCCAAAGUAAUGAUAAUCUCUGCUGAAGAGUCCCGUGAAGAAGAAUGUUCCUUUAUGAAGCUGGUUUUGGUUCAAAGCAAGUUAAUUCUCGAAGUGGGGUUAUUGGUAUUACACAGCCACGUCGUGUUGCUGUCCGUCCUCGCCACUGCCGAGAGGGUGGCUCAUGAGCUUGGUGUUCACCUCAGUCAAGGAGUCGGUUUCAAAGGUAGGUGCGACAAAAAGAUUGGCGAGAACUCAUCUAUAAGUUUAUAAACGAUGGGAUAAAUCUGUGAAGUUAAGUGAUUGCAGGCAGCAUAGAUUUUAAAAGAUCUUUAAGCUACAGAGGCAUUCUUCAUACACCCACCAGUCAUCCUCCAACUUAUUUGGCUUCCUAAUUCCAUGUAACAUUUAUGUUCAGUUGAUAUAAUAUAUCCCUCCUGGUAAUAAGAUCUAGGGGAGCAGUGGCCAUGUGGUUGACGGAAUGACGGUGAUCAGCAUGCAAAUACUGUGUAGAUGGUGAUUUUGCUUCAGCUACAUCGGUGUUGGGAGUCAGAAACCGCGUGGUGUACAAGCUUGCGCUGGUUCCUCUCAAACAGUCUCUUUUCUUCCUCUUCGCAACUCCAACCUUAGGGUGAAUAUGAAUCUUGGUUUAUGUCUCCCUCAUUAAGUCAGCCGUCGCAAUGAACGUAAAGAGAGUAGUAAUCAUAUACACAAAGCUGCAAUGGCUAUCAACAGCAGCAUCAUUAGUGUCUUACAUGGCAAAUCUUCCAAAGGUUUAUGUUACGUUCAGUAACUAUGUUACGGCUGAGAGAGCAGAGAUUCUGCUCUAUUGUUUGAAACAUUGUUGCCUUGGAUUAUCUCAAUUGUAUAUGCAAGAUUCUGUAAAAUAAGGAUGUUACGAGAGAGUUGUUGAAGAGCCGUUCAAGAGUACUUCAAGGUUUAGCUUUUAACAUAGUUGCUUGGAAUGAUUCUGUUAUCUUUGCAGACAAAAUCAUGAGGCGUAGUGAAUAACCUUUUAUAGGUUUUCCAAUUUACUUCUAUAUUUAUUUAUUUUCCUUAUGUUCUGAUCUAUCUCCUGUAAAUUUAUUUCAGAUCAAAAUCAAUGUGAAAUCUAGAACUAAAGCAUUUACUUCCUUUUUCUUAA